GACGAACGCUGGCGGCGUGCCUAAUACAUGCAAGUCGAGCGCUUCUUUCCUCCCGAGUGCUUGCACUCAAUUGGAAAGAGGAGUGGCGGACGGGUGAGUAACACGUGGGUAACCUACCCAUCAGAGGGGGAUAACACUUGGAAACAGGUGCUAAUACCGCAUAACAGUUUAUGCCGCAUGGCAUAAGAGUGAAAGGCGCUUUCGGGUGUCGCUGAUGGAUGGACCCGCGGUGCAUUAGCUAGUUGGUGAGGUAACGGCUCACCAAGGCCACGAUGCAUAGCCGACCGGAGGGGGGGGCCGCCCACAGUGGGACGGAGACACGCCCCAGCCCCCUAGGGGGGGGAGCAGGGGGGAAUCUUGGGAAAUGGAGGAAAGUCGGCCCGCGCAACGCCGGGGGAGGGAAAAGGUUUUUCGGAUCGAAAACCCCUGUUUUUAGAAAAAAACAGGGACGUAAGAAACUGACCGCCCCCUGACGGUAUCUAACAAGAAAGCCACGGCAAACUCCGUC
This 508-nucleotide ribosomal RNA is filed under the name uncultured bacterium. Its description in RNAcentral is "partial 16S ribosomal RNA". It matches the Rfam family "Bacterial small subunit ribosomal RNA", at positions 28 to 507 of the family's 1533-position model. The record is from RNAcentral.